UGAUGUGUAGGAUAGGUGGGAGGCUUUGAAGUGUGGACGCCAGUCUGCAUGGAGCCGACCUUGAAAUACCACCCUUUAAUGUUUGAUGUUCUAACGUUGACCCGUAAUCCGGGUUGCGGACAGUGUCUGGUGGGUAGUUUGACUGGGGCGGUCUCCUCCUAAAGAGUAACGGAGGAGCACGAAGGUUGGCUAAUCCUGGUCGGACAUCAGGAGGUUAGUGCAAUGGCAUAAGCCAGCUUGACUGCGAGCGUGACGGCGCGAGCAGGUGCGAAAGCAGGUCAUAGUGAUCCGGUGGUUCUGAAUGGAAGGGCCAUCGCUCAACGGAUAAAAGGUACUCCGGGGAUAACAGGCUGAUACCGCCCAAGAGUUCAUAUCGACGGCGGUGUUUGGCACCUCGAUGUCGGCUCAUCACAUCCUGGGGCUGAAGUAGGUCCCAAGGGUAUGGCUGUUCGCCAUUUAAAGUGGUACGCGAGCUGG
RNAcentral lists this ribosomal RNA (477 nucleotides) under Escherichia coli. RNAcentral describes it as "bacterial LSU rRNA". It matches the Rfam family "Bacterial large subunit ribosomal RNA", at positions 2132 to 2608 of the family's 2925-position model. Lineage: Bacteria; Pseudomonadati; Pseudomonadota; Gammaproteobacteria; Enterobacterales; Enterobacteriaceae. The record is from RNAcentral.